UUCCUCAGAGACAAAAAAAAAAAGGACGCAGCUUUUUUAACGCAGCGGCGGUCGUCUUCAUCCUCCUCGAGCUAGGGUUCCCAAUCGGUUCUUCAUCUUCUUCUCCUCCUCCUCUCAGUUUCCUUCGAUCCGCCAUGCGGAACGCGCGUUCGAGAUCGGAAAUCGCAGGCUGACGAGCGACAGUAGGCCGUGCAGAACCGACCCCGCGCUUGCUUUCUUCCGAUUCCGAUGUCCUGAACCUCCGAGGUGGUCGCCGGAUUCGAGCUGUUCCGAUCGCCUCGCGGUCCCGAUUGCCCCGGCCGCACCGACGCGAGAGGGAAUCAUCCCGCUGCGGGUCGGGAAAUGGCGGGGAGGAAUCGCGUGCUGCGCGAGCCGUUCAACGGCCGGCGCGGCUACCUUCCCGAAGGCCCUUACGUCCGCGGCCCGCCGAUGCCCCGGCCGCCCCCUCCUCCCGCGCUGCUGGAGGAGGAGCUCGAGAUGCAGCACGCCGAGCUCCGGAGGGUGCUGGCGGAUAACCGGAGGUUGGUCGAGGACCGGAUUGCGCUGCAGCGGGAGCUCGGCGCGGCCAAGGAGGAGAUUCACCGGAUGAACCUUGUCAUCGGGGAUGUCCGCGCGGAGCACGAAAUGCACUCGAGGGAUUUCAUCGAGAAGGGUAUGAAGCUCGAGGCCGACCUUCGCGCGGCCGAGCCUUUGAAAAAGGAAGCUGCGCAGCUCCGCUCCGAAGUUCAGAAGCUGAAUAACGUGAAGCAGGAUCUCGCCGGGCAGGUUCAAACGCUGACGCAGGACGUUGCUAGAUUGAAGGCUGAAAAUAAGCAGAUUUCUCUCUUGAGGGCGGAGAUUGAUGGUCUCAACCAGGAGCUCAUGCAUGCUAGAUCUACUAUCGAGUAUGAGAGGAAAGCAAACAUUGAAUUGAUGGAACAAAGACAGGCAAUGGAGAAUAAUUUGGUUUCUAUGGCGCGGGAGGUCGAGAAGCUGCGUGCAGAACUUACUGCUGGUGAUGUCAGAUCGUGGGGUGCUGGUGGAGGACCAUACGGGAGGAAAUUUAACCCUGGGGAAGGGAGUUUCGCUGCACCAUAUGGGGAUGGCUAUGGUGUUCACCUGGGUUCUGGUAACGGUCCUCUUUAUGGUCCUGGAUCUGCUUCACGGGGAGGACAUGACAAGCCUCGCAUUAAUCGUCGUUGAGAGUCGGACGGUGAUUGCUGUAACUGAAUAUGCACGGCAUGUCAUUUGCUGGGCAGUUGAAUGAGUUAACGGGAGGGAAGGCACAAAUUUAUCAAUUGGCACACCACAUCAAUAGUCUAUGAUCUGAAUGCAUCAUGGAGAGAAUUUCUUGCGAUGCCUGACUUGGAGGGUGUCACAUUUUUCUGCUGGGGAGCCCAACGGGUUGGAUGUCCAUCCAAUGACUAUAGCAUAGUGGAAGAGUUCGUUGGGACACCGUUGCACUGCUCGUAGACGGCAUACACACUGAAAAAGUUGUUCAUACUAGCAGAGGGCAUCAUAUAUUCAGAUUCUUCAUGGGUGAAAUUGCCACAUGAAUACUGGUAGGAUUGAGGCACAAUGAGGUGCCUCCAGAGAGGCAAUUUGAUGAGGCAGUGAUGCAGUGACUGUGUUUUUGGCUGGUACUUUCUCCUCGGUCACUGUCUAUUUGUUCUCAUUUUUCAAGUCGGAGAAAUCUAUGACUUGGAACUGUAACGGGAGUUACAACUUACUUAUGCCUUAUAGAGGUGGCCAUAUGAGAAUAAUUAAUGAAAUGUUUAGCAAUUUUCCCUCUA
Molecule: RNA transcript, 1772 nt
Organism: Eucalyptus grandis
Lineage: Eukaryota; Viridiplantae; Streptophyta; Magnoliopsida; Myrtales; Myrtaceae
Gene name: protein FLX-like 3
Exons: 6
Source: RefSeq, a predicted model, not a curated record